Small nucleolar RNA from Artibeus jamaicensis (Jamaican fruit-eating bat), 135 nucleotides. RefSeq annotates it as small nucleolar RNA SNORA48. NCBI's taxonomy places the organism in Eukaryota, Metazoa, Chordata, Mammalia, Chiroptera, Phyllostomidae. The transcript has a single exon. The record is from RefSeq and is a predicted model, not a curated record.
UGUCCCUGAGCUGGGUACGGUUGCACCUGGUUUGCUGACGCUGGUCUCCUAUCAGACAGGAAUGAAGUAACUCCUUGUUGAUGCCAGCCUGGCUGCGGUCUGUGCUCAUGCCUGGUUCAUGCCCUAGACACAUGG